UUUCAAAAUCUAAUACAGGGUUUUAAAGCUAAAAAAAAUACGAAGACAAUGAUAACGGGCUUAGUAAAAUAAAAAAUCUUCGGAGAGUACACACAAAUUGGGCCCUAAAGAUGUAAAUCCUAAACCCAUUCAUUGCUAGACCAUUAAAUGUAAGGGCGUACACUUCAAAAUCUCUAUAAAGCGAGUGGAGUCUUGUGUUUGUAAGGGCGUACACUUCAAAAUCUCCUCUUUCACCUCCCUUCUACUCCAAGAUAUGUUUCAGGGGAUUAUAGUCCAAGGAUUAAUGCGAGGCCAGUGACUGCUCCAGUGACCAUUCCUUCUUCAUCUACGUUUGAUAGGAAUCCACUCCCUCCUUUUUCCCCAAGAAGCACGAGACGCUCCACUUCAUCCCAGGUUUCUUUUCCUGGGAUUGCAUUUUACAAGAGCUCCAGAAGCGGAGACUCUCCUUCUGGAUUUAUGAACCAAUACCCUGGCCACAAGCUGACAAAGGACAGCAAAUAAGAUUCAGGCAGGUUCUCUGGACUUCUGUCUUCAAGUGGCUCACCAAGAUUCGGGUUUUCGAGGAGCCCGAGUAGAUUUUCUUCUGCAGAUGAUUUGGAUGAACCUGAUUGUUCAUGCCCUUUUGAUUUCGAUGAUGUUGACGAAUCAGGACUCCAGUACAGCAAAAGUCUUGACCGAAGGAAAACUUCAAGCUCUAUAUCACAGUCGCUACCUAUAGGGAGAAAGUCACAGGACGCAGCGGUUGGAGUUCUCGUUCAAAUGUUGAAGACAGCACCACCAUUACGACAAGACUCGAGCACUUACAUGGCGUCAAUGUAUGGGGUUGAGAGAGAAGGUUCAGAGUCAGGCACAGAAUCUGAAUUUUCCAUGGCUCGAAGUACAUCAGAUGCACUAGAGGAACUGAUAAACUACAAGCAGCUCAAAGACUUGCUUCUCUCUAAAUCCAAGAGUGUUGGUGGAGCAACUCCUGUUCACUAAGCCAUAAGAGCAAGCAAGAUAUGAGUUAAUGGGAUAAAUGUUUGUAAUUUGUACAUAUGGAUUUGAUAACGAAUACUGAGCUCCCGUUUUAGUUUCUGUAAAAGAACCUUUGUGCAAACAAAACAAAGUUUCUGUAAAUGAACUACUUUCAAUAUGCACUUAAAAGAUGUUUUGUAACACAAAUGUCACACUAAAAUAAAACGUACACCAGAAACACACACAGAAAAAGCCUCAACAGCUUCAAAUCCAUCCACGCCUAAACAUCUACGGAUUCAGGCAUUUGCAAGCUUUCACCAAUAUCUUUGUGCACAAAAUAAAGCUUCAAAGCCUUUGCCUUUACAAAAAAAAACUGUCAUCCAUCUCCUGCACAACUAA
Brassica napus (rape) is the source of this 1353-nucleotide long non-coding RNA. RefSeq lists it as uncharacterized. The record is from RefSeq and is a predicted model, not a curated record. NCBI's taxonomy places the organism in Eukaryota, Viridiplantae, Streptophyta, Magnoliopsida, Brassicales, Brassicaceae. The transcript has 3 exons.